CGCAGCCGCGGUAAUUCCAGCUCCAAUAGCGUAUAUUAAAGUUGUUGCAGUUAAAAAGCUCGUAGUUGAAUUUCGGAAUUUGUCGGUUGGUCGGGCUUCACUGUCCGCACUGGCCUGAUGAAUUCCUACCUUCUGAAUAACCAGCAUGCUAUUAAUUUAGUGCGUUGGGGAAGCAGAGCUAUUACCUUAGAAAAAAUUGAGUGCUUAAAGCAGGCUCACGCUU
This 223-nucleotide ribosomal RNA is filed under the name uncultured Acaulosporaceae. Its description in RNAcentral is "partial 18S ribosomal RNA". It matches the Rfam family "Eukaryotic small subunit ribosomal RNA", at positions 569 to 796 of the family's 1831-position model. Lineage: Eukaryota; Fungi; Glomeromycota; Glomeromycetes; Diversisporales; Acaulosporaceae. The record is from RNAcentral.